This is a long non-coding RNA of Panthera uncia (snow leopard), 589 nucleotides long. RefSeq lists it as uncharacterized. The record is from RefSeq and is a predicted model, not a curated record. The transcript is spliced from 2 exons. NCBI's taxonomy places the organism in Eukaryota, Metazoa, Chordata, Mammalia, Carnivora, Felidae.
ACUUCAAGUUAUCUCAGAGGCAGUUGGUCUCCCAUUACAAGAAGGGUGAUUACAGUACAGUGUUUAGAGAGGGACUGCAUUCAUCUUUUAUUACAGUUUUUCAGGUUGAGAUUACUGGGAAGGGAGAGAAACAUCCAUAAAUCAGAGGAGGUCUACUCACAACAUGAGAAGCGCAAAGUACUGAAAAGUAUGAAUUAAGGAUGAGGAAUUUUGUCUGACAGUGGCAUAGAAAAGUUUAUGCAAACUUUUCUCAAUCCAUGUCCUACAGAGACAAGAUGAAAUAGCCCCCAAUCUUCUUUGGCAAAUCAGAAGACAUUCAACCUAGACUAGGUUCCAGUUAUGAUCAUGGCAGCUUUGAAGAGAAACUGAUGGUUAAGAAGACUACUAGCAAGUAUUUUUCCUGAGUUUCUCAAGAUAUGAAUGGGCUAGCUCAGUCUGGGAAAAAUACAUCUAAGGAAUAGAUCUAAAAAGUAUAAUGCAUUUUCCCUCCAGUCACUUCAAAUGUGUUUUUCCUGACCCAUUAUGUUACCUUCUAAAUGAAAACCUAAAUACAAAUUGAAUCCGUGUGGUAUGGAGACCACCAAAUUUC